RNAcentral lists this ribosomal RNA (302 nucleotides) under uncultured bacterium. Its description in RNAcentral is "bacterial SSU rRNA". It matches the Rfam family "Bacterial small subunit ribosomal RNA", at positions 28 to 342 of the family's 1533-position model. The record is from RNAcentral.
GAUGAACGCUAGCGGCAGGCUUAAUACAUGCAAGUCAAGGGGUCAGCAAUGGCACCGGCGGACGGGUGAGUAACGCGUACACAACGUGCCUUUAACUGGGGGAUAGCAUCUGGAAACGGGUGGUAAUACCGCAUGUGGUUGCGAGGAGGCAUCUCUUUGUAACUAAAACUUAGGUGGUUAGAGAUCGGUGUGCGUCUGAUUAGCUAGUUGGUAGGGUAGAGGCCUACCAAGGCGACGAUCAGUAGGGGGCGUGAGAGCGUGAACCCCCACACGGGUACGUGAGACACGGACCCGACUCCUAC